UACCAUAGUUUCCCCCUCGUUGGACCCCAUGUAACCGGCAUGGGGGUAUAUAAGCAACUGCGGACCAAAGAUUACUCGAUCGCACCGCCAACAGCUGAUCCGAGAUCAAGAAAUCGUGACCAAAACUAGCGUGGUCCCUUCCAAUACUUCAAAAUAAAAUGGACGCUUCUCAGAUAAUAGUUUGCAGCAUUUUGUGCAUGUCCUUAAUGGUGGCGCUAUCUGAAUCGGCGCCUUUGGAACAUUCAUUGACAAAAAGACAUGCAUUCGAAGGAAUCCAACAAGAAAUUGUAAAAUCAAGAAGGCGACGCGGCAUCAACAGGAAUGUCCGGAUCCGCCAGAUGUACAUUUGUCUUGCUCUGAUCCGGGACAUUUCAGACCACCGGAACUUCAACGACAGCUACCUGCCAUCGUAUUGCCGACCAUUAUAUUGUGCACAAUUGGCAAGAAGUGGAGUUCAAAGUUAUCCAUCAUUCUGUACAAACAAUGUUUCGAUUACGGUGAUUCAGAAGUAACAAUGGUACGAUCUAGUAAUUAAUCAAUUUGUUCUUUUAACCAGAGACUUACAGAAAUCCAUACAAGUUAUCAGGAGCAUUUUUGUGGCGUCUUUCAUUUUCAAUUUCAACCGUCCACUUUGGAUGAAAAAUAAAAGGGUUGCCUGGGCUUUUUUGGACGCAAAAGAUGAACAUUAAUUCAUAUAUGGCACAUACAGUGUACUUCGUUUAAUAGCAUCGUUGACAUGCAUGUCUCGUUACCAAAAGGUGCAAUAUUUCGUCAGUGAUAGAGGAAACUGGAGAUCUUGCUCAACCAUUAACAAACGGCAAUUAUGCCGUGCUUCUGCAUUUUGUAUGUGAACUUUUCAUCCAAAUUCAAUAUCAGUAGCAUUUAUUCCUCAGAUGUUUGCCAUGCAAACUCCCCGCCCCCUUUUUCUCUAGUAUCUAACUCGUCAAAUCUGAUUUCUCGCUAGUAUAUGUUUUUGCAAAUGAAAUUGGAUAUAUAUUUAAUGUGACUGAGGACUGUUAUGUUUGAAUAAAAAAUAUUAUAAUUUU
Molecule: long non-coding RNA, 1046 nt
Organism: Magallana angulata
Lineage: Eukaryota; Metazoa; Mollusca; Bivalvia; Ostreida; Ostreidae
Exons: 3
Source: RefSeq, a predicted model, not a curated record